UACGUAGGGUGCGAGCGUUAAUCGGAAUUACUGGGCGUAAAGCGUGCGCAGGCGGUUUUGUAAGCCAGAUGUGAAAUCCCCGGGCUUAACCUGGGAAUGGCAUUUGGGACUGCAAGGCUCGAGUGCGGCAGAGGAGACUGGAAUUCCUGGUGUAGCAGUGAAAUGCGUAGAUAUCAGGAGGAACACCGAUGGCGAAGGCAGGUCUCUGGGCUGACACUGACGCUCAUGCACAAAAGCGUGGGGAGCAAACAGG
This 253-nucleotide ribosomal RNA is filed under the name uncultured bacterium. RNAcentral describes it as "partial 16S ribosomal RNA". It matches the Rfam family "Bacterial small subunit ribosomal RNA", at positions 524 to 776 of the family's 1533-position model. The record is from RNAcentral.